Molecule: long non-coding RNA, 1639 nt
Organism: Lactuca sativa (garden lettuce)
Lineage: Eukaryota; Viridiplantae; Streptophyta; Magnoliopsida; Asterales; Asteraceae
Source: RefSeq, a predicted model, not a curated record
UGAAUUGAAUAUAAAAGUUAAUUAUUUAAUAAAAUCAUAUUUCAUUAAUUUUGAAAACUUAUGAAUUAUAAUUUUUUUUAUAAUAUAAUUUGUAUAUUUGUUUAUAUUGUGUAUCAGUGAAUUUAAUUAAAGAUAUUAAAGUUAAAAUGAGUCGGGUCAGAUCCAAAGCUAAAAAUGGGUCGGAGUCAGAUCCAAAUAAGAGUAGAUAACCAUACGAACUGUAACUCGUAACGUGUGUUGUAUAUGCAUAAAGAAAUCGGGUGAAGAAAGAAAUACUAUCCCAACAACUCUCUUUCUCCUUCUUCCACUGCAACCCUAAAGUCAUUACCUAAUGUGAAUCACGUGUUAUCAUCCUCAUUUCCAACUUAGCGCUUAUUCCAUUUCCAUUUGUUCUGUCCCUAAUUUGAACGAAUUUUGAGUACGUAGUGCACGUGCUCCUGUAGUCGAGAAGAAGAAGAGAGAAGGUAGGCCCAAUAAGCGAUCGAAGCAUUUGGUGGGUAAUCACGUUAAAACUCGAGCGACUGCAGCUAGGGAAGCGGCGGCGGUUGGUGUUGAGCCGAAGCAACAAAAGAAGCCGAGGCUGCCGACUAAGAAGAAGAAAGAGGGUUUAGCAAAAUAGUCGGUGGUUGUCAUUUCUGAAACAGAGGAGGAUAAAAAGCAAACAAAGGAAACCGGAGAAGAGACAUUCAAAGUAGCAAUGACGGAUGUAAGCGGUGGCUAAAGCGCUAACAGGGUUACAGGCCAGGAAGAAGAAGGCAAUACCGCCCCAUUUCAUGAAAGGGUUCAAGUAGGUGGAUCACCUCAAUAUAAGGUCAAAAGAAAAUUAGGGAAAGGUGGAUUUGGUUAGGUAUUUGUUUGUCGUCGUGUAUCUGGUGGAACUGAUCACAUAUCAGGUCAUGGUGCUACAGAGGUAGCUCUUAAGUUUUAGCAUAGAAACAGCAAAGGCUGCAGUUAUGGUCCUCCAUACGAGUGGCAAGUUUAAAAUAAUAUGGAUGGGAGUCAUGGAGUGCCUAAAGUUCAUUAUAAAGGAAAACAAAUAGAUUACUAUGUUAUGGUCAUGGACAUGUUGGGGCCUAGUUUGUGGGAUGUUUGGAAAUUCCUUAUGGACAAACGAUGUCAUCAGAAAUGGUGGCUUGUAUAGAUGUGGAAUCUUUAUCAAUUUUGCAAAAGAUGCAAUGAAGAGGUUAUGUGCAUGGAGAUAUAAAGCCAAAGAAUUUUUUAGUUGGUCAACCAUCAACAACUCAGUAGAAGAAACUAUUUCUUAUUGACUUAGGGCUAGCAACAAAGUGGAGAGAAAGUUCAAAUGGUCAACAUGUUGACUACGAUAAAAGGCCUGACAUGACAUGUUUAGCGUUGCAGAAUUAAUAGGGAGGAAAACGAUUCUGCAGUAAACCUGGUACCGACAAGAAGGAUUGAAGAAAAACUCAAGAAGAAUAACGUUUUGAAAGAAUUUUAUGGAGCAAAAUCCUGAAAACUAAAUAAGCGUAUAAAUGGUAUAAUUAUAUAUAUUUCGGAAUUUGAUAAAUAGGGGCAGAUUUUUUGGGAUUUAAUCACUGCAAUUUAUUUAAUUUCUAAUCACAAUUAACAAACUGCCAUAUUAAAUCGGCUUUUUCAAAUUUCAAAUUUGAAGAACCGAUUU